UUUACAUGUAUCAAAAACAAGAACACCCAAUAUUCCAAGCCUGGUUCACAUCCAAGAGAUCGAAGAGGUCAAUGCUUCGGUCAAUGCAGACGAGAGUGUUGAGGUCAACAGCCAAGUCUCCAUGAUUUGCUUAUUAUUUGGAUCCUCAAAAACAAAGAGCAAUACCAUGAGAAUAUUCGAAAGAAAUAAUUGAAGGAGCUUAAGCCAAGAUGCCAUUCAUAUAUAUUACGACAUAGUGCUGACGGUCUCGGUCGAUGGCACAGACACCAUUUAUUAUUUGGGCUACCGAGCAUUUCAAAUCAGUCGAACUCGAAAUCCAAACGCGAUUACUCGAUGCUUGCUGAGGAGAUCGAGCGUAAUUCUAGCAUUAUUAUAUUAUAAAAAAUAUAUCGUGGAGAUUGAAUUGAAAAUGACUUCAAAUUUGGACAGGCAUGGAAGGAUUUGCCCUUCAACAAUAUCGUGCACCUUGUUGCUUAUCCGAACAAAAACCUCGCAGAAAUCUCAAGAAAAUGCAGGAUGUAGCUCUCCCUCUCUGUGGACCUUAUUGAUGAAACUUUGGGUGGACUUAGAGCACAUGCCUGCAAUAUCAAGAAACAACAUUUUCUAAAAUCACAAGUGCCAAAAAUAAUGGGAAGGAUGGGCUAGGUAAAAUACAAUUAACUGAUAACAAACCUUAUUUAUUCUUGUAGUUUUUUUAUUAAAUGGGGUCCUUGGCCAUUGCCCAUGUUGCCCAAAAUGCUCUAGCUCACUAAACACUUAGACAAGCAUGCAAGAUCUUCAGCAAGUGUUUGGUUUUCGCAAGUUAGAACGAACGAGGUGCACGAGAGGCAAUACGAGCGUCCCUCCCGACUCAUUUAGUCUUUGAAAAAGCGUAGUCAUAAGACUGCGCUUCUCUUGUUCUAUCUACAAAUAAUCCAUCAAGAUUUAAAUAACGCCAUGCGAAAUCGAUCAAAUGAACAAGAUUUCCGAAAUCUCUCGCUCGAUGUCUUUCUACCGUGAAUACACUAGCUAGCUAGUAUAAAUUAACGUCAAGGUCCUUGAAAGAAACCAUAUCAAUCCAGCAGAUAGCUUAAACAUAACCAUUUCUCUCUUUUUUCACGACCCUUGAGAAAAAAAUGCAGAUCUUCAGCAAAGUGUUGAGAGAUACUGAUGUCCAUGUUCGGUUCUCGUUCCCAACUCAUUGCCUAGAGCAUUUAGAUUUUUCUGGAAAUAAUCUUGUUGAUUUGCAUGUUAAAGAUAGAUGUGGUGAGCUUCGAGUUAUUCGUUGCCUGAAGAGAAAUGGAGUUUAUGACAAGCCAGUGCUUUCUAUGGGCUGGCUUAAAUUUGUUGCUGAUUAUGGACUGAGAGUUGGUGACAAGGUUGUUCUUCAUCGUGAGGAUGACCAGAACCUGGGGUCACAGUUCAUGAUUGAAGCUAAGAGGAGAAUCAUGCUGCUUGGUGAGGAGGCUUGGGGUGAUGUGACAAGAGCUAACUAGCUAUUAUUUGGAUGUUCGGCCAUAUCCAGAUAUAUAUAGAAGAAUGAAUUUAUGUAUGUGUUUAUGUUUGAGUGUUUGUAGUGAUCAUAAUCAAUGUCAUCUGCGUCAGUCUAAUUAAAUAAAUAGAAGAAUGAAUUCCGUUUCCAAGAGUUUUUUUUUUCCAGGUUUUUCAAUUUUGUUGGUUUUUUAUUUUUAAUUUUUCUAUUUUGUGCGCAUUUCAAGUGUCUGAAAACGAGGAUUUCCAUUGAUUUGAUGGAUAAAUAAAUCGAAAUGGAUAAAAAAGAAAUAUAAUUCUUUAAAUCAUGGGAACUAACACAUGCAUUGGUGAUGCUAUGAAACAAAGAUCGAUUGAUUCAAAUCCAUCAUCAUCAAUAACAUAUCGUAUUUAGAUUCAUCAAAUUGAUUCGGUCAUACUAGUUUAGCAACUUUUUUUUUAUUAGAGUUAGAAAAUUUAAAUUGAAGUUAUAUGUGGAUUCGAGUUGAAAUAACAUUUGUUGAAUUAAUAUUUUGAAUUUUAUAUAUAUAUAUAAAGAAUAGUUCAAUCUCAAAACGAUUUGUUGAAACGCUAUGAAACUAAAACAUUUAGUUUUAAUUAAAAAAACAGAACGAAAACCGGACUGAAGCAAUUGUAACAUGGACUCCACCAUUAGCCUGUGAACUCAAGAGUCCAACUUCCUCUUUCCUUCCUAGUUUAUGUGAAGUUUGCUUACUGAUUCACAUGUCCUUAAAAACUUUUACAGGUAUUACGGAUUGGUUUUGUGAUGUCUCAAGAGGACAGUUUUUUUUUUUUUCUUUUGUAAAGAAGUUUGAAGCAAGCAGGCAAGCAACCAUCAAGAAACUAGCUCAGUAUUGAAUUGAAACAUGUCCAGUCCUUCAAAAUUCACAGAAUGUAAUGGGAAUAGUGAGAGUAAUUCAAUAAAGAAGCACUGAAACAAAACCCCAUGUUUGGGAAUCAAAAUAAGUCCACAUGGAGGGAUUCACAAAAGGCAUCAAAAUUGAGAAGAGAAACUUACUCCUUUUCUCCUCCUCUUUUGAUAAGCCCAGAUGGAGGGAUUCACAAAGGCAUCAAAAUUGGCCCAAACCUGGAGCAAAACGCAAAGAAAUUAAGUUGGUAGCUAUACAAAACUCCUGCUUAGGAACUGGAAGAAAGAAAGCGAUUUGGCAUCGCUGCAGCAGCUAGAGAGAUCUUAAAAGAGAUGCUUAGCUUACCUCUUUACAUGUAUCAAAAACAAGAACACCCAAUAUUCCAAGCCUGGUUCACAUCCAAGAUAUCGAAGAGGUCAAUGCUUCGGUCAAUGCAGACGAGAGUGUUGAGGUCAACAGCCAAGUCUCCAUGAUUUGCUUAUUAUUUGGAUCCUCAAAAACAAAGAGCAAUACCAUGAGAAUAUUCGAAAGCAAUAAUUGAAGGAGCUUA
This 2889-nucleotide long non-coding RNA is filed under the name Populus trichocarpa (black cottonwood). RNAcentral's name for it is "long non-coding RNA (PTRI_LNC000846)". Lineage: Eukaryota; Viridiplantae; Streptophyta; Magnoliopsida; Malpighiales; Salicaceae. The record is from RNAcentral.